UCCACCUCUAGGCUCAUGGUGUUAUCUGAUCCUUCAAGGCACUUUCAGAUUCCAUUCCCUGACGCAGCAUUUGCUAUAAAUAUGUCUGAAGAGUUUCUUGCUGACAGUGCCUAGCAAGAUUGCACCCUCCUUCCUGCAUCAGCCUCUGGAGGGACUGGGGACAUUAUGAUUGCUCCGUGGAUUUGGGGAUUCCUCCUGGGACCUGGGAAGGAGGGGAAGACACGCUGCCCUGUGGGAGCCCAAGUGGAAAGGAGCUGUGGCCCUCAGACCAGCAGCCUUCAGGGAACUGAAUCCUGUCUGUCAAUAGCUGUGCAAACUUAGUAUGGAAUCCUUCCUUAUCCCAGCAGCAGAUGAGACUAAGGCCCCAGCUAACACCUUGCUUGUAGCAGAGGACCUGGCCAAGCCAUGCCCAGACUCCUAAUGGACAGAAACAACAAAAUAAUAAACGCGAGUUGUUUUAAGCUGCUA
Molecule: long non-coding RNA, 468 nt
Organism: Nycticebus coucang (slow loris)
Lineage: Eukaryota; Metazoa; Chordata; Mammalia; Primates; Lorisidae
Exons: 2
Source: RefSeq, a predicted model, not a curated record